RNAcentral lists this ribosomal RNA (253 nucleotides) under uncultured bacterium. RNAcentral describes it as "partial 16S ribosomal RNA". It matches the Rfam family "Bacterial small subunit ribosomal RNA", at positions 524 to 776 of the family's 1533-position model. The record is from RNAcentral.
UACGUAGGGGGCUAGCGUUGUCCGGAUUUAUUGGGCGUAAAGAGCGUGUAGGCGGCCAGGUAGGUCUGCUGUGAAAACUCGAGGCUCAACCUCGAGACGCCGGUGGAAACCAUCAGACUAGAGUCCGGAAGAGGAGAGUGGAAUUCCUGGUGUAGCGGUGAAAUGCGCAGAUAUCAGGAAGAACACCAGUGGCGAAGGCGGCUCACUGGCCCGGUACUGACGCUGAGGUGCGAAAGCGUGGGGAGCAAACAGG